CCGAUGCUACAACCGCACAGAACAGGUUUUAAGCGAAAGUCCGCACCUGUGAUGGCGAGUCUUAGUUACUUU
This is a regulatory RNA element of Amphibacillus xylanus NBRC 15112, 72 nucleotides long. The record is from Rfam. Lineage: Bacteria; Bacillati; Bacillota; Bacilli; Caryophanales; Bacillaceae.